Molecule: ribosomal RNA, 2920 nt
Filed under: Bacillus anthracis (anthrax bacterium)
Lineage: Bacteria; Bacillati; Bacillota; Bacilli; Caryophanales; Bacillaceae
Description: bacterial LSU rRNA
Rfam family: Bacterial large subunit ribosomal RNA
Source: RNAcentral
UUAAGUUAGAAAGGGCGCACGGUGGAUGCCUUGACACUAGGAGUCGAUGAAGGACGGGACUAACGCCGAUAUGCUUCGGGGAGCUGUAAGUAAGCUUUGAUCCGAAGAUUUCCGAAUGGGGAAACCCACCAUACGUAAUGGUAUGGUAUCCUUAUCUGAAUACAUAGGGUAAGGAAGACAGACCCAGGGAACUGAAACAUCUAAGUACCUGGAGGAAGAGAAAGCAAAUGCGAUUUCCUGAGUAGCGGCGAGCGAAACGGAACAUAGCCCAAACCAAGAGGCUUGCCUCUUGGGGUUGUAGGACAUUCUAUACGGAGUUACAAAGGAACGAGGUAGACGAAGCGACCUGGAAAGGUCCGUCGUAGAGGGUAACAACCCCGUAGUCGAAACUUCGUUCUCUCUUGAAUGUAUCCUGAGUACGGCGGAACACGUGAAAUUCCGUCGGAAUCUGGGAGGACCAUCUCCCAAGGCUAAAUACUCCCUAGUGAUCGAUAGUGAACCAGUACCGUGAGGGAAAGGUGAAAAGCACCCCGGAAGGGGAGUGAAAGAGAUCCUGAAACCGUGUGCCUACAAAUAGUCAGAGCCCGUUAACGGGUGAUGGCGUGCCUUUUGUAGAAUGAACCGGCGGGUUACGAUCCCGUGCGAGGUUAAGCUGAAGAGGCGGAGCCGCAGCGAAAGCGAGUCUGAAUAGGGCGUUUAGUACGUGGUCGUAGACCCGAAACCAGGUGAUCUACCCAUGUCCAGGGUGAAGUUCAGGUAACACUGAAUGGAGGCCCGAACCCACGCACGUUGAAAAGUGCGGGGAUGAGGUGUGGGUAGCGGAGAAAUUCCAAUCGAACCUGGAGAUAGCUGGUUCUCCCCGAAAUAGCUUUAGGGCUAGCCUUAAGUGUAAGAGUCUUGGAGGUAGAGCACUGAUUGGACUAGGGGUCCUCAUCGGAUUACCGAAUUCAGUCAAACUCCGAAUGCCAAUGACUUAUCCUUAGGAGUCAGACUGCGAGUGAUAAGAUCCGUAGUCAAAAGGGAAACAGCCCAGACCGCCAGCUAAGGUCCCAAAGUGUGUAUUAAGUGGAAAAGGAUGUGGAGUUGCUUAGACAACUAGGAUGUUGGCUUAGAAGCAGCCACCAUUUAAAGAGUGCGUAAUAGCUCACUAGUCGAGUGACUCUGCGCCGAAAAUGUACCGGGGCUAAAUACACCACCGAAGCUGCGGAUUGAUACCAAUGGUAUCAGUGGUAGGGGAGCGUUCUAAGGACAGUGAAGUCAGACCGGAAGGACUGGUGGAGUGCUUAGAAGUGAGAAUGCCGGUAUGAGUAGCGAAAGACGGGUGAGAAUCCCGUCCACCGAAUGCCUAAGGUUUCCUGAGGAAGGCUCGUCCGCUCAGGGUUAGUCAGGACCUAAGCCGAGGCCGACAGGCGUAGGCGAUGGACAACAGGUUGAUAUUCCUGUACCACCUCUUUAUCGUUUGAGCAAUGGAGGGACGCAGAAGGAUAGAAGAAGCGUGCGAUUGGUUGUGCACGUCCAAGCAGUUAGGCUGAUAAGUAGGCAAAUCCGCUUAUCGUGAAGGCUGAGCUGUGAUGGGGAAGCUCCUUAUGGAGCGAAGUCUUUGAUUCCCCGCUGCCAAGAAAAGCUUCUAGCGAGAUAAAAGGUGCCUGUACCGCAAACCGACACAGGUAGGCGAGGAGAGAAUCCUAAGGUGUGCGAGAGAACUCUGGUUAAGGAACUCGGCAAAAUGACCCCGUAACUUCGGGAGAAGGGGUGCUUUCUUAACGGAAAGCCGCAGUGAAUAGGCCCAAGCGACUGUUUAGCAAAAACACAGCUCUCUGCGAAGCCGUAAGGCGAAGUAUAGGGGGUGACACCUGCCCGGUGCUGGAAGGUUAAGGAGAGGGGUUAGCGUAAGCGAAGCUCUGAACUGAAGCCCCAGUAAACGGCGGCCGUAACUAUAACGGUCCUAAGGUAGCGAAAUUCCUUGUCGGGUAAGUUCCGACCCGCACGAAAGGUGUAACGAUUUGGGCACUGUCUCAACCAGAGACUCGGUGAAAUUAUAGUACCUGUGAAGAUGCAGGUUACCCGCGACAGGACGGAAAGACCCCGUGGAGCUUUACUGUAGCCUGAUAUUGAAUUUUGGUACAGUUUGUACAGGAUAGGCGGGAGCCUUUGAAACCGGAGCGCUAGCUUCGGUGGAGGCGCUGGUGGGAUACCGCCCUGACUGUAUUGAAAUUCUAACCUACGGGUCUUAUCGACCCGGGAGACAGUGUCAGGUGGGCAGUUUGACUGGGGCGGUCGCCUCCUAAAGUGUAACGGAGGCGCCCAAAGGUUCCCUCAGAAUGGUUGGAAAUCAUUCGUAGAGUGCAAAGGCAUAAGGGAGCUUGACUGCGAGACCUACAAGUCGAGCAGGGACGAAAGUCGGGCUUAGUGAUCCGGUGGUUCCGCAUGGAAGGGCCAUCGCUCAACGGAUAAAAGCUACCCCGGGGAUAACAGGCUUAUCUCCCCCAAGAGUCCACAUCGACGGGGAGGUUUGGCACCUCGAUGUCGGCUCAUCGCAUCCUGGGGCUGUAGUCGGUCCCAAGGGUUGGGCUGUUCGCCCAUUAAAGCGGUACGCGAGCUGGGUUCAGAACGUCGUGAGACAGUUCGGUCCCUAUCCGUCGUGGGCGUAGGAAAUUUGAGAGGAGCUGUCCUUAGUACGAGAGGACCGGGAUGGACGCACCGCUGGUGUACCAGUUGUUCUGCCAAGGGCAUAGCUGGGUAGCUAUGUGCGGAAGGGAUAAGUGCUGAAAGCAUCUAAGCAUGAAGCCCCCCUCAAGAUGAGAUUUCCCAUAGCGUAAGCUAGUAAGAUCCCUGAAAGAUGAUCAGGUUGAUAGGUUCGAGGUGGAAGCAUGGUGACAUGUGGAGCUGACGAAUACUAAUAGAUCGAGGACUCAACCAU